This 204-nucleotide ribosomal RNA is filed under the name uncultured Pseudomonas sp. RNAcentral describes it as "partial 16S ribosomal RNA". It matches the Rfam family "Bacterial small subunit ribosomal RNA", at positions 1179 to 1382 of the family's 1533-position model. The record is from RNAcentral. Lineage: Bacteria; Pseudomonadati; Pseudomonadota; Gammaproteobacteria; Pseudomonadales; Pseudomonadaceae.
AUGACGUCAAGUCAUCAUGGCCCUUACGGCCUGGGCUACACACGUGCUACAAUGGUCGGUACAAAGGGUUGCCAAGCCGCGAGGUGGAGCUAAUCCCAUAAAACCGAUCGUAGUCCGGAUCGCAGUCUGCAACUCGACUGCGUGAAGUCGGAAUCGCUAGUAAUCGUGAAUCAGGAUGUCACGGUGAAUACGUUCCCGGGCCUU